UUUCAGAGUCAUUUAACUGGAGGAAAAAAAUAUUUGUCCCCUGUAACUCUUAAGGAAGUUUGAAGAGAAUAUUUACCUCAGUGAACUGAGUGAAUGGGGCAUUAAGUGAAGUACAUUGAGGUGAUGGGAAAAUGACUUCUCACUUUUUUUUUUUUUUUAAUUUUAAAAUGCACACAGAAUUCUUACACUCAGAAGCAACAUCUGAGGAAAUGAGCUUGGGAAACCUGAGAAAGGAAUGAAGGAGUCAUUAGUUUUGCCCAUCUGGCAGCAGAACAGCUGGUCCUGCUGAGUCUGGAGAUUCCUUCCUGAUGUCUCUCCUGCUCAGUGUUACGCAGCUCAGCAGAAUCUUGAG
RNAcentral lists this long non-coding RNA (352 nucleotides) under Gallus gallus (chicken). The record is from RNAcentral. Lineage: Eukaryota; Metazoa; Chordata; Aves; Galliformes; Phasianidae.